RNAcentral lists this ribosomal RNA (447 nucleotides) under uncultured bacterium. RNAcentral describes it as "bacterial SSU rRNA". It matches the Rfam family "Bacterial small subunit ribosomal RNA", at positions 329 to 793 of the family's 1533-position model. The record is from RNAcentral.
CGCCAGACUCCUACGGGAGGCAGCAGUGGGGAAUAUUGCACAAUGGGGGAAACCCUGAUGCAGCGACGCCGCGUGAGUGAAGAAGUAUUUCGGUAUGUAAAGCUCUAUCAGCAGGGAAGAAAAUGACGGUACCUGACCAAGAAGCCCCGGCUAACUACGUGCCAGCAGCCGCGGUAAUACGUAGGGGGCAAGCGUUAUCCGGAUUUACUGGGUGUAAAGGGAGCGUAGACGGUUGUGCAAGUCAGAAGUGAAAGCCCGGGGCUCAACUCCGGGACUGCUUUUGAAACUGUGAAACUGGAGUGCAGGAGAGGUAAGCGGAAUUCCUGGUGUAGCGGUGAAAUGCGUAGAUAUCAGGAGGAACACCAGUGGCGAAGGCGGCUUACUGGACUGUAACUGACGUUGAGGCUCGAAAGCGUGGGGAGCAAACAGGAUUAGAUACCCGUGUAA